Long non-coding RNA from Betta splendens (Siamese fighting fish), 666 nucleotides. RefSeq lists it as uncharacterized. Lineage: Eukaryota; Metazoa; Chordata; Actinopteri; Anabantiformes; Osphronemidae. The transcript is spliced from 3 exons. The record is from RefSeq and is a predicted model, not a curated record.
GGCUCAGAGAUACGUGACCUUCGCGAGUGGAGAAUGCAUGACAGGAACUUCACAGGAAGAGAAAAGGUCAGCCAACGGGAACAUGAGAGUGCCAACAGAGCUAAAAGAAAACAUCGAGCCAUGGAAAGGGGGACGUGAGCAGGUGAGAGUCGCGGAGGAGUGAGUCAGAGCCAACGAGUGUGUCGGCGGAUUUAGUCGAGUGACAUCUGACUUGAGUCGAUCACAAGCAGCCUCUUCGCUCCGUCCGGCGCUGGACGGACUUCGUGACCGCUGCUUGUGUCCAGUCUGCAGAACAUGCACACAAACAAAGGUGGAUCGGCACAGAACAUCACGAACACCCGGCGUGAACAGGCGCGAUGAACAAAGGCCUGGGAACAGACAAGCACAGUGACUUCCUGUGAAAUCAUACCUGUUACAUAACUCCCACUGCAGCCUCUCUGUUUGUGCGUUCGGCCGCUGCUGUGUUUGUUCCGACUGAGGAGAAACUGGAGCGCGGAGUGACCAGCGGACGGGUGAAUGAAGGAGCUUUAACCUGGACCUCCGCUCAGGACAGGGUUUUAAACAUUUGCGUAUUAAAUUCUUGUGUCUGUUGUGUUCAGACGCUGCCUCCUUCUUUUUCUAUUCUGAUUGGUACCAUUCUCUGUCUGUUUAGUUGUUUUGGUUCAU